GAACGCUAGCGGGAUGCCUUACACAUGCAAGUCGAACGGCAGCGGGAAAGUAGCUUGCUACUUUUGCCGGCGAGUGGCGAACGGGUGAGUAAUGUAUCGGAACGUGCCCAGUAGCGGGGGAUAACUACGCGAAAGCGUGGCUAAUACCGCAUACGNCCUACGGGGGAAAGGGGGGGAUCUUAGGACCUCUCACUAUUGGAGCGGCCGAUAUCGGAUUAGCUAGUUGGUGGGGUAAAGGCCUACCAAGGCGACGAUCCGUAGCUGGUUUGAGAGGACGACCAGCCACACUGGGACUGAGACACGGCCCAGACUCCUACGGGAGGCAGCAGUGGGGAAUUUUGGACAAUGGGGGAAACCCUGAUCCAGCCAUCCCGCGUGUGCGAUGAAGGCUUCGGGUUGUAAAGCACUUUUGUCAGGGAAGAAAAGGUUUCGGAUAAUACCCGG
RNAcentral lists this ribosomal RNA (444 nucleotides) under Alcaligenes sp. RNAcentral describes it as "bacterial SSU rRNA". It matches the Rfam family "Bacterial small subunit ribosomal RNA", at positions 31 to 472 of the family's 1533-position model. Lineage: Bacteria; Pseudomonadati; Pseudomonadota; Betaproteobacteria; Burkholderiales; Alcaligenaceae. The record is from RNAcentral.